Molecule: transfer RNA, 69 nt
Rfam family: tRNA
About the family: Transfer RNA (tRNA) molecules are approximately 80 nucleotides in length. Their secondary structure includes four short double-helical elements and three loops (D, anti-codon, and T loops). Further hydrogen bonds mediate the characteristic L-shaped molecular structure. tRNAs have two regions of fundamental functional importance: the anti-codon, which is responsible for specific mRNA codon recognition, and the 3' end, to which the tRNAs corresponding amino acid is attached (by aminoacyl-tRNA synthetases). tRNAs cope with the degeneracy of the genetic code in two manners: having more than one tRNA (with a specific anti-codon) for a particular amino acid; and 'wobble' base-pairing, i.e. permitting non-standard base-pairing at the 3rd anti-codon position.
AGAAACUUAGGAUAACAAGACCAAGAGCCUUCAAAGCCCUAAGCAGAAGUGAAACUCUUCUAGUUUCUG